RNAcentral lists this ribosomal RNA (883 nucleotides) under uncultured bacterium. Its description in RNAcentral is "bacterial SSU rRNA". It matches the Rfam family "Bacterial small subunit ribosomal RNA", at positions 28 to 896 of the family's 1533-position model. The record is from RNAcentral.
GACGAACGCUGGCGGCGCGCUUAAUACAUGCAAGUCGAGCGAGAACCAGGGCUUCGGCCCUGGGGACAGCGGCGAACGGGUGAGUAACACGUGGGUAAUCAACCCCCGACACCGGGAUAGCCCAGGGAAACUUGGAUUAAUACCGGAUGCUCCGUCUGGCCUUCGGGCCGGCCGGAAAAGGGUAGCUUCGGCCUCCGGUCGGGGACGAGCCCGCGGCGGAUUAGCUUGUUGGUGAGGUAAAGGCUCACCAAGGCGACGAUCCGUAGCUGGUCUGAGAGGACGAUCAGCCACACUGGGACUGAGACACGGCCCAGACUCCUACGGGAGGCAGCAGUAGGGAAUCUUGCGCAAUGGGCGAAAGCCUGACGCAGCGACGCCGCGUGAGGGAAGAAGGCCUUCGGGUUGUAAACCUCUUUCAGGAGGGACGAAGCCACUCGGGUUAAUAGCCUAGAGGGUGACGGUACCUCCAGAAGAAGCCCCGGCUAACUACGUGCCAGCAGCCGCGGUAAUACGUAGGGGGCAAGCGUUGUCCGGAUUUAUUGGGCGUAAAGAGCGUGUAGGCGGCCUUACAGGUCAGCUGUGAAAACUCGAGGCUCAACCUCGAGACGUCGGUUGAAACCGUAAGGCUAGAGUCCGGAAGAGGAGAGUGGAAUUCCCGGUGUAGCGGUGAAAUGCGCAGAUAUCGGGAAGAACACCCGUGGCGAAGGCGGCUCUCUGGGACGGUACUGACGCUGAGACGCGAAAGCGUGGGGAGCGAACAGGAUUAGAUACCCUGGUAGUCCACGCCGUAAACGAUGGGCACUAGGUGUGGCGGGUAUCGACUCCCGCUGUGCCGAAGCUAACGCAUUAAGUGCCCCGCCUGGGGAGUACGGCCGCAAGGCUA